AAACGAAUUCCGGAGCCACGAAGUCCGUUUUCCGUUUGUUUAGUCGCGCUAAGUUCAGUUGAUGAGCACAAACUCAUCAGCGUAUUCUUGAGUGCGUCCAAACUCUGUAAGCGUACACUGCAACCAGUUAGACGAUUGGCCAUGGGCACAGUCGUAUUGUUGGGCCUUAAAAUCCGACGAUGCGGCGAAGCAUUUGUUUGUUUGUGUCAGUAGUAGCGCGGUGCGUUUCGACGCAUUCAUGUUGCUGGACGCAAGCGAGAGAACUAUGGUCAAAUACUGACUGGGACGAUGAAAAUCGCGCUUUUUUGCGCGUGCUAUAAAACGCAAUCAACCGCAUGUGUGUCUACAUGCGUAUCGGAUGUGUUUAAGCUCAGCACUUUUGAAUUCAGACUUGCCAGCUACCAAUGGGGCAACCCUUGGUGCUGGUGUAGCUUCUGUCUAAUCGGGUGUUGACUUGGCAUGUGUGUAUACGUAUGAAGCGAUUGGACGCACGUGUGCGAGUUGGUUCGCAAUUAUUGGCAGUGAGUAGGUCGGCUUUCCGAACGACCCGUCUUGAAACACGGACCAAGGAGUCUAAUUAGGCAUCGAGUCGAUCGGUCUUGAAUAGGCCAGACUGAUGGGGGCGACCCUGUCGAAUGAAGGCGUAGAGAAAUCAAAUCAUGUGAUCGUGGCGGCAACAACAGCCGUUGCGCGCAACAUGUGCCUGUUCGUAUAGCAAUGUUAGCAAUAACUUGCUGAGCGGAGCAAAGAGAUGCCUGAUUGGUACCCGAAAAUGGGGAACUUUG
This 785-nucleotide ribosomal RNA is filed under the name Aceria massalongoi. RNAcentral's name for it is "partial large subunit ribosomal RNA". The stretch from base 241 to 785 matches the Rfam family "Eukaryotic large subunit ribosomal RNA", at positions 1 to 835 of the family's 3401-position model. The record is from RNAcentral. Lineage: Eukaryota; Metazoa; Arthropoda; Arachnida; Trombidiformes; Eriophyidae.